Podarcis lilfordi (Lilford's wall lizard) is the source of this 72-nucleotide non-coding RNA. Lineage: Eukaryota; Metazoa; Chordata; Lepidosauria; Squamata; Lacertidae. The record is from the annotation of a GenBank genome assembly.
UGCGAUAGCUCAUUUGGGAGAGCAUAAGACUCUUAAUCUCAGGGUCAUGAGUUCGAGCAUCAUGUCGAGCAA